Long non-coding RNA from Chinchilla lanigera (long-tailed chinchilla), 889 nucleotides. RefSeq lists it as uncharacterized. The record is from RefSeq and is a predicted model, not a curated record. The transcript is spliced from 3 exons. Lineage: Eukaryota; Metazoa; Chordata; Mammalia; Rodentia; Chinchillidae.
AGGAGGCUGAAUUUCUUAACUGAAAAGAUUAGAGAAUGAAUGCAUUAUACAGCCACAUGCCUUAAGUUAACAAGGAAGUUAAUACCAUGCAUAAGUAAGAUAACUACCCUUAGAAGUGUUAGUCACAGUUAAAGGGUCCUACUAGGUCACUUCUAAAUACUCAUGAAUGCUGUGGGCCAGUGUAUGGAAAUGACAAACCACAAUAAGACUAUGAAGUUAUGCACAAUAUGACUACGUGACAUAAAAAUGUUUAAAAAAUUUUUAUCACAGCAAAAGGCACAUUGUCAUUACUCUUCAAGAUACCCUCUACCACUUUGAACACACAUCCCAUUGUUCUUGUCACUUUCUGAAACAGUGUAUAGUUUGUUUACAGUAACUUCUGUCAAAUGAUAAUAUGACAGUGUGUCUUCAUCCUCCUUAUUCACAGAAUCUAGUACUAUGUGACUUCUGGCUCUUACAUAAGGUCAAAACGACCUUGAAAGGUAAAUAUGUUGAAUUCAUUCAGGACACGGAGGCAACUAUGACAGUCCAACUAAAGAUACUCAUGAAAGAGGACUUCCAGAAGUACUGCAAACAGUUGCAAGAAUGGUGAGUGGAGUAGGUAGACAUGACAGCGCAAAGCAGCUGGCGUCGAUAAUGGAACCUCAGAGAAAAGAAUAGUGCAGCCGCAUGGAGGAUUUAGCACCAGGGAUCACCAAAAGUGCCAUUAUACUGGGCUUGGGAUGCAGCCCAGCAGUGCAGUGCCUGUCCGGAAAGGGUGAGACCCUGGGUUCAAUCCCUGGCACUAAAAAAGAAAAAAGGAAAAUAAUGACCAAAAAAAAAAGUACCACAAAAUCUAUGCAGUGCAAUAAACUGAACUGAGGGCUGGGGAUUUAGCUCAGCGGCACAG